AAACCAACAAGCUUGCUUGUUGGGGUUGUAGGACACUCUAUACGGAGUUACAAAGGACGACAUUAGACGAAUCAUCUGGAAAGAUGAAUCAAAGAAGGUAAUAAUCCUGUAGUCGAAAAUGUUGUCUCUCUUGAGUGGAUCCUGAGUACGACGGAGCACGUGAAAUUCCGUCGGAAUCUGGGAGGACCAUCUCCUAAGGCUAAAUACUCUCUAGUGACCGAUAGUGAACCAGUACCGUGAGGGAAAGGUGAAAAGCACCCCGGAAGGGGAGUGAAAUAGAACCUGAAACCGUGUGCUUACAAGUAGUCAGAGCCCGUUAAUGGGUGAUGGCGUGCCUUUUGUAGAAUGAACCGGCGAGUUACGAUUUGAUGCAAGGUUAAGCAGUAAAUGUGGAGCCGUAGCGAAAGCGAGUCUGAAUAGGGCGUUUAGUAUUUGGUCGUAGACCCGAAACCAGGUGAUCUACCCUUGGUCAGGUUGAAGUUCAGGUAACACUGAAUGGAGGACCGAACCGACUUACGUUGAA
Molecule: ribosomal RNA, 523 nt
Filed under: Staphylococcus aureus
Lineage: Bacteria; Bacillati; Bacillota; Bacilli; Caryophanales; Staphylococcaceae
Description: partial 23S ribosomal RNA
Rfam family: Bacterial large subunit ribosomal RNA
Source: RNAcentral